RNAcentral lists this ribosomal RNA (418 nucleotides) under Roussoella siamensis. RNAcentral's name for it is "SSU rRNA". It matches the Rfam family "Eukaryotic small subunit ribosomal RNA", at positions 73 to 489 of the family's 1831-position model. The record is from RNAcentral. Lineage: Eukaryota; Fungi; Ascomycota; Dothideomycetes; Pleosporales; Thyridariaceae.
AUUAUACCGUGAAACUGCGAAUGGCUCAUUAAAUCAGUUAUCGUUUAUUUGAUAGUACCUUACUACUUGGAUACCCGUGGUAAUUCUAGAGCUAAUACAUGCAAAAAACCCCCCGACUUCGGGAGGGGUGUAUUUAUUAGAUAAAAAACCAAUGCCCUUCGGGGCUCCUUGGUGAUUCAUAAUAACUUAACGGAUCGCAUGGCCUUGCGCCGGCGACGGUUCAUUCAAAUUUCUGCCCUAUCAACUUUCGAUGGUAAGGUAUUGGCUUACCAUGGUUUCAACGGGUAACGGAUUUUUAGGGAAAGAUCCCGGAGAGGGAGCCUGAGAAACGGGGAUACCACAUCCCAAGGAAGGCAGCAGGCGCGCAAAUUACCCAAUCCCGACACGGGGAGGUAGUGACAAUAAAUACUGAUACAGG